RNAcentral lists this ribosomal RNA (292 nucleotides) under uncultured bacterium. Its description in RNAcentral is "partial 16S ribosomal RNA". It matches the Rfam family "Bacterial small subunit ribosomal RNA", at positions 505 to 796 of the family's 1533-position model. The record is from RNAcentral.
GUGCCAGCAGCCGCGGUAAUACGUAGGAUCCAAGCGUUGUCCGGAUUUACUGGGUGUAAAGGGUGCGCAGGCGGGCUGGUAAGUCAGUAGUGAAAUCUCGGCGCUCAACGCCGAAACGUCUUUUGAUACUACCAGUCUUGAAUAAGCGAGAGAUCCGUGGAAUUCCGAGUGUAGCAGUGAAAUGUGUAGAUAUUCGGAAGAACACCAGAGGCGAAGGCAGCGGGUUGGCGCUUUAUUGACGCUCAGGCACGAAAGCAUGGGGAUCAAACAGGAUUAGAAACCCUGGUAGUCC